AUGAUGGCAUCUCUAUUCGCUGCAGCACCUGAAGGUUCUGCCAUGCCAAAAACGAAAAAGCGUGUCAGAUGCAAAAACAGUGCAGCUGCUACCUCAAGAAUAACAAGAUCUAGAGCUACCAGAACAACUGAGUCAUUUGAAGCUACAAACCAUCAAGAACAGUCUGCACCAAACCCAACAAACACAUCACCUCACCUAACUUCUAAGGAUAGAUACUCGCCUGAUCCUGAUUCAGGGGUACAAGAUGCAUUAGCAUGCUCCACUGGUCCAACUGAUCGACAUCCGUCAAGGAGAUGUCGUGGACGUAGACCAACCAUGGGGCAUGGGCUUCAGGAGUAUGCAAGCAGAAAUGGAGGGAGGAAAAUGCAUAUUGAUUUUACAGCGGGGAAACUUAACUUUGAGAUGGAUAAGGAUGACAAGGUUGGGAAUGAUGUAUGCACAAAAGUAAUCCAGAAGGGUGUUUGA
Molecule: ribosomal RNA, 465 nt
Filed under: Triticum aestivum (bread wheat)
Lineage: Eukaryota; Viridiplantae; Streptophyta; Magnoliopsida; Poales; Poaceae
Description: partial small subunit ribosomal RNA
Source: RNAcentral